CCUACGGGUGGCAGCAGUGGGGAAUAUUGGACAAUGGGGGGAACCCUGAUCCAGCGACGCCGCGUGAGUGAAGAAGUAUUUCGGUAUGUAAAGCUCUAUCAGCAGGGAAGAAAGAAAUGACGGUACCUGAAGAAGAAGCCCCGGCUACCUACGUGCCAGCAGCCGCGGUAAUACGUAGGGGGCAAGCGUUAUCCGGAUUUACUGGGGGUAAAGGGGGCGCAGACGGCGAUGCAAGCCAGGGGUUAAAGCCCGGGGCCCAACCCCGGGACUGCUCUUGGAACUGCGUGGCUAGAGUGCAGGAGGGGGAGGCGGAAUUCCUGGUGUAGCGGUGAAAUGCGUAGAUAUCAGGAGGAACACCGGUGGCGAAGGCGGCCUGCUGGACUGCAACUGACGUUGAGGCCCGAAAGCGUGGGGAGCAAACAGGAUUAGAUACCCGUGUGUC
RNAcentral lists this ribosomal RNA (442 nucleotides) under uncultured bacterium. RNAcentral describes it as "partial 16S ribosomal RNA". It matches the Rfam family "Bacterial small subunit ribosomal RNA", at positions 338 to 795 of the family's 1533-position model. The record is from RNAcentral.